Molecule: ribosomal RNA, 465 nt
Filed under: uncultured bacterium
Lineage: Bacteria
Description: partial 16S ribosomal RNA
Rfam family: Bacterial small subunit ribosomal RNA
Source: RNAcentral
CCUACGGGAGGCAGCAGUAGGGAAUCUUCCACAAUGGACGAAAGUCUGAUGGAGCAACGCCGCGUGCGUGAAGACGGGUUUCUGCUCGUUAAGCUCUGUUUGUAGUGAGGUAAGCUAGAGGUCGUAACUUCCCUUGAUUUGACGGUAAGUACUUAGAUCGUCACGGCUAACUACGUGCCAGCAGCCGCGGUAAUACGUAGGUGGCAAGCGUUGUCCGGAUUUAUUGGGAGUAAAGCGAGUGCAGGCGGUAAAAUAAGUCUGAUGUGAAAGCUUUCGGCUCAACCGUAGAAUUGCUGCAGAAACUGGUUAACUUGAGUGCAGAAGAGGAAAGUGGAAUGCGUUGUGUAGCGGUGGAAUGCAUAGAUAUAACGAAGAACACCGAUGGCGAAGGCGGCUUUCUGAUCUGCAACUGACGCUGAGGCUCGAAAGCAUGGGUAGCGAACAGGAUUAGAUACCCUUGUAGUC